CCACCCCUGUAAUUUAUUUUCGCAACCCCUCUCGGUUGCGAGAAUGUUCAGUGAAAUCAAUCACUGAACAAUUCCAUACUUCCCCACCUCUCUCCAUGAGAGAAACCCCCUGAAACCAGGGGAAAAACUUGCUCCCAACAACCUAAAUUGUUGGACAGCAUUACUCUCCACACCCCUGGUUUCACAGACAAGUUACACAGAGUCAGGAGAAUAGUUCCAAGGGUCAUUAAAAGGCUACCCUCCUCUGUACUAAAGCAAGUAACCUUCCCCUAAAUUUAGAGGUAAAGCACUCACAAGUUAUUCAUUGUAAAGUGUCUCAGGUUCUACUUAUCUAAGGUACAUGUCGUUACAAAGUAAGUCUAUCAAAAUCGUCCUCUUCUCACAAAUCUAACAUCAAACGUAUCGCCAAGUAAGAAUUCAACUACAUGACAGUUUAACUCCCUACCAGAGACUUAUGCUUCUAAUCGAAACUGCCCGAUAAUCUUACCUCUCCUAAGUUUUGUACACCGCUGUCGAGUUAGCUAGAGGAUAACCUUUAUUCUCCUUCUCCAAUGAGAGACAAGUCAAGUCAUGGUGCAGACAAUGGAAAGGUCUCGGUGUAAGUCAGUUAAUUUAGUCUAAAACGAUAUCAUACAUUAGUACCCUUGCAUUAGUUGCAGGAACUAGCGGCCUACAGUUAUAUAAGUGUGCGUAUAUUAUUCGUAGUAACUCUACACCAAUUACACAUACGGUAUCAGGUAUAACGGGUCCUAGUAGCUAUAUUUGCUAGUUUGAGCUAAUGUUUAGUGCUAUAAACC
RNAcentral lists this ribosomal RNA (797 nucleotides) under Antarctophthirus lobodontis. Its description in RNAcentral is "small subunit ribosomal RNA". The record is from RNAcentral. Lineage: Eukaryota; Metazoa; Arthropoda; Insecta; Psocodea; Echinophthiriidae.